This 253-nucleotide ribosomal RNA is filed under the name uncultured bacterium. Its description in RNAcentral is "partial 16S ribosomal RNA". It matches the Rfam family "Bacterial small subunit ribosomal RNA", at positions 524 to 776 of the family's 1533-position model. The record is from RNAcentral.
UACAGAGGGUGCGAGCGUUGUCCGGAAUCACUGGGCGUAAAGCGCACGUAGGCGGACUCUUAAGUCGGUGGUGAAAUCCUGGAGCUCAACUCCAGAACUGCCUUCGAUACUGAGAGUCUCGAGUCCGGGAGAGGUGAGUGGAACUGCGAGUGUAGAGGUGAAAUUCGUAGAUAUUCGCAAGAACACCAGUGGCGAAGGCGGCUCACUGGCCCGGUACUGACGCUGAGGUGCGAAAGCGUGGGGAGCAAACAGG